UUAAGCGACCAAGCGUACACGGUGGAUGCCCUGGCAGUCAGAGGCGAUGAAGGACGUGCUAAUCUGCGAAAAGCGCCGGUAAGGUGAUAUGAACCGUUAUAACCGGCGAUGUCCGAAUGGGGAAACCCAGUGUGACUCGUCACACUAUCAUUAACUGAAUCCAUAGGUUAAUGAGGCGAACCGGGGGAACUGAAACAUCUAAGUACCCCGAGGAAAAGAAAUCAACCGAGAUUCCCCCAGUAGCGGCGAGCGAACGGGGAGGAGCCCAGAGCCUGAAUCAGCAUAUGUGUUAGUGGAAGCGUCUGGAAAGGCGCGCGAUACAGGGUGACAGCCCCGUACACAAAAGCGCAUGUGCUGUGAGCUCGAUGAGUAGGGCGGGACACGUGGUAUCCUGUCUGAAUAUGGGGGGACCAUCCUCCAAGGCUAAAUACUCCUGACUGACCGAUAGUGAACCAGUACCGUGAGGGAAAGGCGAAAAGAACCCCGGCGAGGGGAGUGAAACAGAACCUGAAACCGUGUACGUACAAGCAGUGGGAGCCCCACCACUAAGCCAGUGGUGAACUCCACAUACGCAUCCUUUGCGGAAGAUGCGGUUAACGGAGCGAAAGCGACGUUCAACCGCAAAAGAAGCAGAGGGGGCUUAGUGGUGGGGUGACUGCGUACCUUUUGUAUAAUGGGUCAGCGACUUAUAUUCUGUAGCAAGGUUAACCGAAUAGGGGAGCCGGAGGGAAACCGAGUCUUAAUUGGGCGUUAAGUUGCAGGGUAUAGACCCGAAACCCGGUGAUCUAGCCAUGGGCAGGUUGAAGGUUGGGUAACACUAACUGGAGGACCGAACCGACUAAUGUUGAAAAAUUAGCGGAUGACCUGUGGCUGGGGGUGAAAGGCCAAUCAAACCGGGAGAUAGCUGGUUCUCCCCGAAAGCUAUUUAGGUAGCGCCUCGUGAAUUCAUCUCCGGGGGUAGAGCACUGUUUCGGCCAGGGGGCCAUCCCGGCUUACCAACCCGAUGCAAACUGCGAAUACCGGAGAAUGUUAUCACGGGAGACACACGGCGGGUGCUAACGUCCGUCGUGAAGAGGGAAACAACCCAGACCGCCAGCUAAGGUCCCAAAGUCAUGGUUAAGUGGGAAACGAUGUGGGAAGGCCCAGACAGCCAGGAUGUUGGCUUAGAAGCAGCCAUCAUUUAAAGAAAGCGUAAUAGCUCACUGGUCGAGUCGGCCUGCGCGGAAGAUGUAACGGGGCUAAACCAUGCACCGAAGCUGCGGCAGCGACACUGUGUGUUGUUGGGUAGGGGAGCGUUCUGUAAGCCUGCGAAGGUGUGUCGUGAGGCAUGCUGGAGGUAUCAGAAGUGCGAAUGCUGACAUAAGUAACGAUAAUGCGGGUGAAAAACCCGCACGCCGGAAGACCAAGGGUUCCUGUCCAACGUUAAUCGGGGCAGGGUGAGUCGACCCCUAAGGCGAGGCCGAAAGGCGUAGUCGAUGGGAAACAGGUUAAUAUUCCUGUACCUGGUGUUACUGCGAAGGGGGGACGGAGAAGGCUAUGUUGGCCGGGCGACGGUUGUCCCGGUUUAAGCGUGUAGGCUGGUUUUCCAGGCAAAUCCGGAAAAUCAAGGCUGAGGCGUGACGACGAGGCACUACGGUGCUGAAGCAACAAAUGCCCUGCUUCCAGGAAAAGCCUCUAAGCCUCAGGUAACAUCAGAUCGUACCCGAAACCGACACAGGUGGUCAGGUAGAGAAUACCAAGGCGCUUGAGAGAACCCGGGUGAAGGAACUAGGCAAAAUGGUGCCGUAACUUCGGGAGAAGGCACGCUGACACGUAGGUGAAGCGGUUUACCCGUGGAGCUGAAGUCAGUCGAAGAUACCAGCUGGCUGCAACUGUUUAUUAAAAACACAGCACUGUGCAAACACGAAAGUGGACGUAUACGGUGUGACGCCUGCCCGGUGCCGGAAGGUUAAUUGAUGGGGUCAGCGCAAGCGAAGCUCCUGAUCGAAGCCCCGGUAAACGGCGGCCGUAACUAUAACGGUCCUAAGGUAGCGAAAUUCCUUGUCGGGUAAGUUCCGACCUGCACGAAUGGCGUAAUGAUGGCCAGGCUGUCUCCACCCGGGACUCAGUGAAAUUGAACUCGCUGUGAAGAUGCAGUGUACCCGCGGCAAGACGGAAAGACCCCGUGAACCUUUACUAUAGCUUGACACUGAACACUGGUCCUUGAUGUGCAGGAUAGGUGGGAGGCUUUGAAGUGUGGACGCCAGUCUGCAUGGAGCCGUCCUUGAAAUACCACCCUUUAAUGGCUGGUGUUCUAACGUAGACCCGUGAACCGGGUUGCGGACAGUGUCUGGUGGGUAGUUUGACUGGGGCGGUCUCCUCCUAAAGCGUAACGGAGGAGCACGAAGGUUGGCUAAUCCUGGUCGGACAUCAGGAGGUUAGUGCAAUGGCAUAAGCCAGCUUGACUGCGAGCGUGACGGCGCGAGCAGGUGCGAAAGCAGGUCAUAGUGAUCCGGUGGUUCUGAAUGGAAGGGCCAUCGCUCAACGGAUAAAAGGUACUCCGGGGAUAACAGGCUGAUACCGCCCAAGAGUUCAUAUCGACGGCGGUGUUUGGCACCUCGAUGUCGGCUCAUCACAUCCUGGGGCUGAAGUAGGUCCCAAGGGUAUGGCUGUUCGCCAUUUAAAGUGGUACGCGAGCUGGGUUUAGAACGUCGUGAGACAGUUCGGUCCCUAUCUGCCGUGGGCGCUGGAGAACUGAGGGGGGCUGCUCCUAGUACGAGAGGACCGGAGUGGACGCAUCACUGGUGUUCGGGUUGUCAUGCCAAUGGCACUGCCCGGUAGCUAAAUGCGGAAGAGAUAAGUGCUGAAAGCAUCUAAGCACGAAACUUGCCCCGAGAUGAGUUCUCCCUGAGACUACAAGUCUCCUGAAGGAACGUUGAAGACGACGACGUUGAUAGGCCGGGUGUGUAAGCGCAGCGAUGCGUUGAGCUAACCGGUACUAAUGAACCGUGAGGCUUAACCUU
Molecule: ribosomal RNA, 3002 nt
Filed under: Salmonella enterica subsp. arizonae
Lineage: Bacteria; Pseudomonadati; Pseudomonadota; Gammaproteobacteria; Enterobacterales; Enterobacteriaceae
Description: bacterial LSU rRNA
Rfam family: Bacterial large subunit ribosomal RNA
Source: RNAcentral